RNAcentral lists this ribosomal RNA (253 nucleotides) under uncultured bacterium. RNAcentral's name for it is "partial 16S ribosomal RNA". It matches the Rfam family "Bacterial small subunit ribosomal RNA", at positions 524 to 776 of the family's 1533-position model. The record is from RNAcentral.
UACGAAGGGGGCUAGCGUUGUUCGGAUUUACUGGGCGUAAAGGGCUCGUAGGUGGCCAACUAAGUCAGACGUGAAAUCCCUCGGCUUAACCGGGGAACUGCGUCUGAUACUGGAUGGCUUGAGUUCGGGAGAGGGAUGCGGAAUUCCAGGUGUAGCGGUGAAAUGCGUAGAUAUCUGGAGGAACACCGGUGGCGAAGGCGCAAACCUGGCCCGAUACUGACACUAAAGCGCGAAAGCCAGGGGAGCAAACGGG